Molecule: ribosomal RNA, 455 nt
Filed under: uncultured Alloprevotella sp.
Lineage: Bacteria; Pseudomonadati; Bacteroidota; Bacteroidia; Bacteroidales; Prevotellaceae
Description: bacterial SSU rRNA
Rfam family: Bacterial small subunit ribosomal RNA
Source: RNAcentral
ACGGGAGGCAGCAGUGAGGAAUAUUGGUCAAUGGGCGAGAGCCUGAACCAGCCAAGUAGCGUGCAGGAUGACGGCCCUCCGGGUUGUAAACUGCUUUUAGUUGGGAAUAAAAGGGAGUACGCGUACUCCAUAUUGUAUGUACCAUCAGAAAAAGGACCGGCUAAUUCCGUGCCAGCAGCCGCGGUAAUACGGAAGGUCCGGGCGUUAUCCAGAUUUAUUGGGUUUAAAGGGAGCGUAGGCGGGCUUUUAAGUCAGCGGUCAAAUGUCAGCGCCCAACGCUGGCCUGCCGUUGAUACUGAUGGGCUUGAAUACACACAAGGAAGGUGGAAUUCGUCGUGUAGCGGUGAAAUGCUUAGAUAUGACGAAGAACUCCGAUUGCGAAGGCAGCCUUCUGGAGUGCGAUUGACGCUGAGGCUCGAAAGCGCGGGUAUCAAACAGGAUUAGAUACCCUGGUA